AGACACUAGUCAGAACAGGACAAACAAGGAUUUUCAGAGCCAGCUCAGAUACAUUCUUUCCAAGCACCAUAGUUGUGAAAAGCCCAAUUUAGAUCAUUCAGAGGCCAAGCUACUGCCAGCCAGUGCCCCUUGUGGCAAGCAAAAAGACAAGUGAACAUGUGAAUGUCUUGAGCACCUCAACCCCACACUCCACCCCUUGCCCAGGAUGAGGAUGAGGGGCCGGUCAAGAGCCUCACUCUAGACCUGGUCCCAUGUUCCAGCAAGGACCAUAUUAGAGCAGCACUGGGGACCUAAGUCAGACCUUCACGGGCUAUGUCCAGCAGAUGGCUCCUCUGCCCACAUCUGCCAAGGACCUCCCGCCGUCAGAUGCUGUGGAGACUGGCCCAGGCAGGCUCAGAUCAGUGGCACCCAGGGGCUGUGGUCCUGUCCUGCUGGUCCCUAUUGCCAGGGGAAUAACAAGGUAUGGGAGUGUCAUCCGGCUCCAUGCACACAGCAAGAGGAAAGUCACAGCUGUCCCAAACCAUAGCAUCUGAUCCUUGCUGCUCAAACCCUGUCUCAUCCUCUGUCUCUCUCCCUCUCUGCCUGUCUCUUGUGGAAAGGUUAUAACUGUGGUAGAAUACACAUCCAUACACAUUCCCUGCUGCCUUCUGCAGUGAUGGUGCAGGGGUAGUAAGUGCAUUCUCCCUGCUGGGCACCACCCCCAGGGCCUCUGCUUCCUCUGAGCGGAAACUCUAUGCCCAGCACCUGGGAAGCCCCACUGUGUCUGAGUGUGACGUGAGCACUUACUGUUUUCUUCAGCACAACCCCAUCUCUGCCAUGAGUGCACACAACAGAAGGCCAGUUUCACACCAAAGGAGCAAAGGCUGGCCCUGAACUCCUGGGCUCCAGUGAUCCUCCGGCCUCAGCCCUCCCAGCAGCUGGACCACAGUGUUGAGACCGUGCCCAGCUGGGAUGAUGUCUGUGUGAUCAGAUGUGUUCCUUGUCUGUCCUUCCAUCACCCUCCUUUCCUGCAAUCCAGACCUCAGAGCACGAGGGGCCCUGGUGUGGAAAUCCCUGCCCACACCCACGUCCUGAGAAGCCUAUGCUGAGUCCCUGCCCUUUCCAAUCCUGGGGCUGCAUCUUCAAGACCACGAGACGUCAUGGAGCCCGAGGCUCCUGUCCUUUCCAGCCUCUUGUCCUCACAGCUCCGUCCCCCGACACUCCUGGAGGUGUCACCUUUGAUGGCCACAUUCGUGGUCCUGCUUCUGUGUGCUGGGGAGUAGCCAUGAGCACUGGCAGGGACACCACCCCAGGUGGCAGUCGGCUACGGACCGCUGAAACCCAGGCGGGGGCAGCCUGAGUGAGGCUCCGGCUCCACGAGCUCCACAGGCUCCACACCGUGCUUCUCCCACUAGUGCGCACUUCUCGGCAGUGCACUUGUCUGGGCCCGAGGUUGGGGUCUCAUCUUUAUCUUCACACAUCUGUAACCUGGGUCUCCCUGUCAUGGAACACAGUCAGCUGGGGACGUGGACACAGUGGGUCUGCACAAGGUCGAGUGAGUAGUUUUGAACCCUCACUGAUUCUUGUGCUCUGCUGAGCAGUGCUGAUGACAUUCGGCUGAAGGCCUUUGGCAGCACUAGCAUGGCAUGGCUCAGGGAAGGAAGUAAUUGACUGUAGGCAACACUUUGCCCAGCCACAUCCAGACAGAACAGUGCUGCAUUUCCAGGUGUAGUCUUGUAAAACAGUAUCUGUCGCUCUCUAGAAUCCAGUAAGAUUAAAAACUAGUGCCAACACUCAUCUGAUGCGGCCCCAGGAGAGAUGCAAGAGUUCUUUCAUGUCCCAAGAGUUAGACAUUUGCCCAUUUUUUAAAGUCUUUUUCUUCAAGUCUAAAAAAUAGGAUGCCUAUUUCUUCACCUUCACCUAUCCAUUCAAAAAUCACUUAUCAGGGCCAGGGAUUUAGCUCAGUGGCACCACACCUGCCUCAAAAGUGCGAGGUCCUGAGUUUGAUCCCUAGAACUGGAAAAAAAAAAAAAUCACAUCAACUACAUAUGGACUAAGUGAUAGUUGGGAUUUGCUUAAAAUUAUACAGGGUAAGUAAGGGGUAGUGAGGAAAGGAACAGAUGGAACAAGACUGGGUGUGAGUGGAUGGUUGCUGAAGGGGUGGCCAAGCACAUGAGCAGCCUCGGUACCUGCUUGAGCAUGGCAACACUGCCAUCACUGCACCCACAACAAUAGACACUCCAUGGGACCCCCCACAUAUACAUUCCAAACGUGCAUGAUGAACAUGCCUUCAGUUGCCAUAUACGAGUACAGUUAAUGUUCACAAGUUCAUCUCCAUCUCCUCCAGCCCAUGCUGCCAGACCACAGCAAAGCAUUCUGUCAAACACAGAUGCUCCCAACCCGUGCCACCUGAUGUGAGAAAUCAGUGCACACAGACAACUGCUUGUUCACUGUGAUUGAACUGGGCCACACAGUAAGGCAUCUGAGAACCAGACUGGGCCUUUAUGUCCAAGUUCUCAGUGAGGGGAGAUUAGAUUGCUGAAAAAGAUCAGACAUGAAGCAAGGCUCAAGGCUGCAUUAUCUAGCUUUUGAUCCCCCUUUUUUGAGACAGGGUCUGUCAGGCUGCCCUUUAACUCACUAUACAGCCCAGACAGCCCCAAACUUGCAGCAAUCCUGCCUCAGCCUCUUGAAUGCUGGAAUUAUGGGCAUGUGCCACUACUCUCAGCUGGAUUCCCUUUGUAAAUAGCUUUUUUAAAUUGGAAAAACUGUUUUCCUUCUAUGCUGUGGCCCCGUGGCCCUCAGCAUGACAGAACUGCUGCUCACAUGGCUCUGACCAGCAGUAACUUAAAGGUCAGAGGCAGCUACCUCUAAGCCUCGCCAGCUUCUCUUCAGACUGCUGAGAAGCCCUGGUUUCAUCAACUCUCUCCAAUACUAACUGGUCUGUGCCAUUAAGCCAUCCAAUUAAAUAGUUACUUCCUUCUCAUUGUCAUGUGUUUGGGACCCAAAAGAGAACAAGGGGCCCUGCCACUGAGAAUCUCCACCUCAGGCUUCAACAACCAACGUAACGAGUGAGGCGAGUCAGAAUAACUCAUAGUAUAAGCAGAAGCAGCAGGAUUCUGUAGAUCUUCUCAGGAGAUGGUAUUUUAGUGAACGAUGGCCAGUGGGUGGCAGGAUCAUUUGGGGAAGUGGAAACACAAGGGCUGAUUCGUGUUUUAAAAAGAGGAAAGGCAAAAAAAAAAAAAAAAAAAAA
Molecule: non-coding RNA, 3229 nt
Organism: Heterocephalus glaber (naked mole-rat)
Lineage: Eukaryota; Metazoa; Chordata; Mammalia; Rodentia; Bathyergidae
Source: RefSeq, a predicted model, not a curated record